CAAGCGGUGGAGCAUGUGGUUCAAUUCGACGCAACGCGCAGAACCUUACCUGGUCUUGACAUCCUCGGAACCUGCCAGAGAUGGUGGGGUGCCCGCAAGGGAACUGAGAGACAGGUGCUGCAUGGCUGUCGUCAGCUCGUGUCGUGAGAUGUUGGGUUAAGUCCCGCAACGAGCGCAACCCUCGCCUUUAGUUGCCACGCAAGUGGAUCUCUAGAGGGACUGCCGGUGUUAAACCGGAGGAAGGUGGGGAUGACGUCAAGUCCUCAUGGCCUUUAUGACCAGGGCUACACACGUGCUACAAUGGCCGGUACAAAGCGCUGCCAACCCGCGAGGGGGAGCCAAUCGCAUAAAACCGGUCUCAGUUCAGAUUGGAGUCUGCAACUCGACUUCAUGAAGGCGGAAUCGCUAGUAAUCGUAGAUCAGCACGCUACGGUGAAUACGUUCCCGGGCCUUGUACACACC
This 462-nucleotide ribosomal RNA is filed under the name uncultured bacterium. RNAcentral's name for it is "bacterial SSU rRNA". It matches the Rfam family "Bacterial small subunit ribosomal RNA", at positions 926 to 1391 of the family's 1533-position model. The record is from RNAcentral.